Molecule: non-coding RNA, 148 nt
Filed under: Lotharella oceanica
Lineage: Eukaryota; Cercozoa; Chlorarachniophyceae
Source: RNAcentral
AAGGGAAAAAAAAAAAAAAAAAAAAAACGCAAUCUCACCAACUGACGAUGUGCGAUGCGUGUAUGCGUUUUUUUUGUUGGUCUUGUUUUUGUCUUGUUAUUUGUUCUAUGGUUUUCUUCUUGAGGAUGGUUCGUGUGAUUCGUUCAAG